UUCCCCUUUAUUUUUGGAGCGAUUUUCUCCUUCUUUUGAGGCUCCACGAUUGUCGUCGUAGGGCCAUUUCUUGUUGCCAUUCUUUCUCCCUUCUUCUUCUCGAUGAGAAAUCUUGCCUUCCUAUGCUCGAGCGUAUCUUCGAGCUUGGGCUAGGAGGUCAGCGUAGACUUUCAAAAAAUUCUUAUCGAGGAAGAAAAUCAAAUGCUCGUCUUUGAGUCCUU
Molecule: long non-coding RNA, 221 nt
Filed under: Elaeis guineensis (African oil palm)
Lineage: Eukaryota; Viridiplantae; Streptophyta; Magnoliopsida; Arecales; Arecaceae
Description: long non-coding RNA (EGUI_LNC019702)
Source: RNAcentral